AUUGAACGCUGGCGGCAGGCUUAACACAUGCAAGUCGAGCGGGGGAGGUUGCUUCGGUAACUGACCUAGCGGCGGACGGGUGAGUAAUACUUAGGAAUCUGCCUAUUAAUGGGGGACAACAUCUCGAAAGGGAUGCUAAUACCGCAUACGCCCUACGGGGGAAAGCAGGGGAUCACUUGUGACCUUGCGUUAAUAGAUGAGCCUAAGUCGGAUUAGCUAGUUGGUGGGGUAAAGGCCUACCAAGGCGACGAUCUGUAGCGGGUCUGAGAGGAUGAUCCGCCACACUGGGACUGAGACACGGCCCAGACUCCUACGGGAGGCAGCAGUGGGGAAUAUUGGACAAUGGGGGGAACCCUGAUCCACCCAUGCCGCGUGUGUGAAGAAGGCCUUAUGGUUGUAAAGCACUUUAAGCGAGGAGGAGGCUCUCUUGGUUAAUACCCAAGAUGAGUGGACGUUACUCGCAGAAUAAGCACCGGCUAACUCUGUGCCAGCAGCCGCGGUAAUACAGAGGGUGCGAGCGUUAAUCGGAUUUACUGGGCGUAAAGCGUGCGUAGGCGGCUUUUUAAGUCGGAUGUGAAAUCCCCGAGCUUAACUUGGGAAUUGCAUUCGAUACUGGGAAGCUAGAGUAUGGGAGAGGAUGGUAGAAUUCCAGGUGUAGCGGUGAAAUGCGUAGAGAUCUGGAGGAAUACCGAUGGCGAAGGCAGCCAUCUGGCCUAAUACUGACGCUGAGGUACGAAAGCAUGGGGAGCAAACA
RNAcentral lists this ribosomal RNA (754 nucleotides) under uncultured Acinetobacter clone MT6. RNAcentral's name for it is "bacterial SSU rRNA". It matches the Rfam family "Bacterial small subunit ribosomal RNA", at positions 28 to 774 of the family's 1533-position model. The record is from RNAcentral. Lineage: Bacteria; Pseudomonadati; Pseudomonadota; Gammaproteobacteria; Moraxellales; Moraxellaceae.